GCAGGCUGCAACCCGCCUGCAUGAAGUUGGAAUCACUAGUAAUCGCGGAUCAGCAUGCCGCGGUGAAUGCGUUCUCGGGCCUUGUACACACCGCCCGUCACACCAUGAGAGUCGGGAACACCCGAAGUCCGUAGCCUAACCGCAAGGGGGGCGCGGCCGAAGGUGGGCUCGAUAAUUGGGGUGAAGUCGUAACAAGGUAUC
RNAcentral lists this ribosomal RNA (201 nucleotides) under uncultured bacterium. Its description in RNAcentral is "partial 16S ribosomal RNA". It matches the Rfam family "Bacterial small subunit ribosomal RNA", at positions 1300 to 1500 of the family's 1533-position model. The record is from RNAcentral.